AAGCUGCUGCCAUAAAGGAAUUUCUUCUGCUUUAUGGUGUUGGAAAAGAAGAAUCACUUCAGGGUUCUAUUACAUAUACUUCGGUAGAUUCUAAUGUCGAAAAAGAAACAUCUUGUGUGGUACAGACCGGAGAAUCAACAACGAAUGGCCAAGAAAAUAUCGAUACUGAAAUGAGUUUAUUUGAGAUGUCUAAUAAAAAUAGAAAGAUAUUCGAACCAUGAAGGUACCCAAGAUUUGUGGACCCACUUGGAUAACUGGACGACUAUCUUACAAUGGUAAAUCUCUUUGGAGCAUUACCUGCGUCAAAGAGCAAGAAAAUUGAUGUAGAUCUUGUACACAAAAUCCGAAGACAGUAAUAUCCUAUCUUCUUCACAAUGAACCUGGUGCACGGAUGCACCUGGUUUAAGACUUAGCCGUGAAGAUGAAGAGGAUCAAGAUACAAGAGAAUGUAAAAAUCUCUUCAAAAAUCUCAAAUUCUUCUUGAUUAGGGAGGACUCCUCCACCUCACUUGUCACCUUUUGUUAACUACGAUGAAGAAGGCUACAUUUCCGACAAUGCAAAGACUAUCAACCACUUGCAAUCUGCUGCCACAGAGGAAUUUCUUCCGCUUCCUGGUGUUGGAAAAGACGAUUCACUUCAGGGUGCUAUUACAUAUAUUUCAGCAGAUUCUAAUGUUGAAAAAGAAAUAUCUUCUAGUGUGGUACAGACCGAAGAAUCAACAACGAAUGGCCAAGAAAAUGUCGAUACUGAUAUGAGUUUACUUGUGAUGUCUCGUAAAAAUAUUAAGAUAUUCGAAGCCAUGAGAUAUCUAAUAAGCGCAAGCAGAAUGAGACUGAUCACAUCAACAGCGGAAAAUGAAAUUAGAUGAUGCUAAGGGUCAAAGAAGUUGAAGACUCUAGCUAUGACUUCAUUUUUGGUAUUGAAAUUAAGGCAAGAUGAAUGUGUUUUAAUUUUAAGGUAGAAAAAGCCUUAUAGCUCAAAGAGUUCAUGCAAGCGACUUUGUUUUUAUUGAAUCAUAAAGAGAUUAGCGGGGGCUCAAAAAUUUGAUUUGUUAGGCACGGGCCGGGGGGUCCUAUAUUUUUCGGUACAAAUUCCACGGGAUAUCUUAUAUAAAUGUUUUCUAGAUGUCAAAACUCUUAGUUUAGUUGUUAA
Medicago truncatula (barrel medic) is the source of this 1152-nucleotide RNA transcript. It is a transcript of the gene named pescadillo homolog, with no coding region annotated. The transcript is spliced from 5 exons. The record is from RefSeq and is a predicted model, not a curated record. NCBI's taxonomy places the organism in Eukaryota, Viridiplantae, Streptophyta, Magnoliopsida, Fabales, Fabaceae.